This 21-nucleotide unclassified non-coding RNA is filed under the name Chlamydomonas reinhardtii. Its description in RNAcentral is "small RNA Cre_3166". The record is from RNAcentral. Lineage: Eukaryota; Viridiplantae; Chlorophyta; Chlorophyceae; Chlamydomonadales; Chlamydomonadaceae.
UGCUCCAGGCUGCAGGCGUGG